Molecule: ribosomal RNA, 897 nt
Filed under: Triticum aestivum (bread wheat)
Lineage: Eukaryota; Viridiplantae; Streptophyta; Magnoliopsida; Poales; Poaceae
Description: partial small subunit ribosomal RNA
Source: RNAcentral
AUGGCUGGAAAUAUGAAGCGAGAAGGCGUUUGCACGAGAAGCCAGACCAAAAAGCAGAAAGCUUGGACAGCUUGGCGAGGAAAUUCGCUUCUGGACAAUCCGUUUGAAGAGGAAUUUGGCAGCUUAAGUGAUUCUGGCCAAGGUGUCUGGACGGAACUCAGUAAAGAAGUCGCCUCAAACUUAGCGGGCACUGUUGUAUCGCUUGCUUCAUUUGCUGAUGAAAAGACAGUGUUUUUUGCAUGCACGGGCAUAAUUAUCGUAAACAAGCCUACUUUUACAAGUUGUCUGACUUCAUUAAGUUUGGUUAGAUCUAUUGAUGAUGACACCAAGAUCCUUCACGAUAUGACGAUUGAAGUGCGCCUUCCGGAUAAUAAACUUGAACUGGGAUGGUUGGAAUCCUACGAUUUGAAAUACAAUGUUGCGGUUAUCAACAUCGGUCGCUACCAUUCUCUUCAAGUAACAUGUCUAGAUCAUCAGCGGCAAUUUGAGUCUCACAGUAAAGUAGUUGCCGUAGGGCGUUGCUUCAACUCAGGAAAACUAGUGGCCACAGCUGGGAUGUUGACCGACAAUCCACAAGGAGCUUACCGGGAGGAGCUUGCCAUCUCCACAUGUGAAAUUACUAUGACUGGAGUUGGAGGGCCCCUUGUUGAUUUUAAUGGGGACUUCAUCGGGAUGAACUUUUAUGCUGAGAAAGAGACUCCAUUCCUACCAAGGAUUAAAAUUCUUGAACUCCUGUCGCAGUUCAGGAAAACAAUUCAGUGGAUGUAUGUCCUCCAUACUCACUCAUUGCUUUUCUACUCUUGUCCUCCAUACUCACUUAUUAGUUUUUGUGCACAUGGGUCACACAUGCUUAGAAAAAUAAAUAAUGGUGGAAAGCUUAAUCAAGAGUGCACUUAA